RNAcentral lists this ribosomal RNA (496 nucleotides) under uncultured bacterium. RNAcentral describes it as "partial 16S ribosomal RNA". It matches the Rfam family "Bacterial small subunit ribosomal RNA", at positions 28 to 506 of the family's 1533-position model. The record is from RNAcentral.
GACGAACGCUGGCGGCGUGCCUAAUACAUGCAAGUUGAGCGAUCAAGUUUGGUGCUUGCUCCAAUUUGAAGAGCAGCGAACGGGUGAGUAACGCGUGGGGAAUCUGCCUUUGAGCGGGGGACAACAUCUGGAAACGAAUGCUAAUACCGCAUAACAACUUUAAACAUAAGUUUUAAGUUUGAAAGAUGCAAUUGCAUCACUCAAAGAUGAUCCCGCGUUGUAUUAGCUAGUUGGUGAGGUAAAGGCCUACCAAGGCGAUGAUACAUAGCCGACCUGAGAGGGUGAUCGGCCACAUUGGGACUGAGACACGGCCCAGACUCCUACGGGAGGCAGCAGUAGGGAAUCCUCGGCAAUGGGCGAAAGUCUGACGGAGCAACGCCGCGUGAGUGAAGAAGGUCUUCGGAUCGUAAAACUCUGUUGGUAGGGAAGAACGUAGGUGUGAGUGAAAAGGUAAGUAAGGAAGGGAAAUAACCAAGAAGGGAACGGUAAACUACUG